Molecule: ribosomal RNA, 465 nt
Filed under: uncultured bacterium
Lineage: Bacteria
Description: bacterial SSU rRNA
Rfam family: Bacterial small subunit ribosomal RNA
Source: RNAcentral
CCUACGGGGCGCACCAGUGGGGAAUAUUGCACAAUGGGCGCAAGCCUGAUGCAGCCAUGCCGCGUGUAUGAAGAAGGCCCUAGGGUUGUAAAGUACUUUCAGUCGGGAGGAAGGCGUUGAUGCUAAUAUCAUCAACGAUUGACGUUACCGACAGAAGAAGCACCGGCUAACUCCGUGUCAGCAGCCGCGGUAAUACGGAGGGUGCAAGCGUUAAACGGAAUUACUGGGCGUAAAGCGCACGCAGGCGGUUGAUUAAGUUAGAUGUGAAACCACCGGGCUUAACCUGGGAAUGGCAUCUAAGACUGGUCAGCUAGAGUUUUGUAGAGGGGGGUAGAAUUCCAUGUGUAGCGGUGAAAUGCGUAGAGAUGUGGAGGAAUACCGGUGGCGAAGGCGGCCCCCUGGACAAAGACUGACGCUCAGGUGCGAAAGCGUGGGGAGCAAACAGGAUUAGAUACCCGUGUAGUC